UGAUUAUGCUGUAAACAAUGGAGGUUAAC
This 29-nucleotide non-coding RNA is filed under the name Mus musculus (house mouse). The record is from RNAcentral. Lineage: Eukaryota; Metazoa; Chordata; Mammalia; Rodentia; Muridae.